AACGCAUAUUGCGCCCGAAGCUCCGGCUUAGGGCAUGCCUGCCUCAGCGUCUUGGUUACGCUCCAUAUGGGAGCUGAUCUUGGUGAUCAAACAUGAUUAUUCAAGCGAAUCUGGCAUUCCCAUGGCCCUGUUGCCUUGGGUAUGUUGAAACGAAGGGCAUGAGCAAGGAACACAUACGCGUCAACUGGACAGGUUCGCAUCUAAUGCGUGACACGAAGUUGGGGCGUGGGCUUUGUGAGUGCCGUGCAGGAAGCCAUCAGUAUGGCGACGCAAACAUUCGACCUGAGCUCAGGCAAGACUACCCGCUGAACUUAA
This 315-nucleotide unclassified non-coding RNA is filed under the name uncultured soil eukaryote. RNAcentral describes it as "sequence contains 5.8S rRNA gene, ITS2, 28S rRNA gene". The record is from RNAcentral.